RNAcentral lists this ribosomal RNA (39 nucleotides) under Sanguisorba minor. RNAcentral's name for it is "partial 26S ribosomal RNA". Lineage: Eukaryota; Viridiplantae; Streptophyta; Magnoliopsida; Rosales; Rosaceae. The record is from RNAcentral.
CGCAACCCCAGGUCAGACGUGGUUACCCGCUAAAUUUAA